CAGAGGCAUUGGGUAGCUACUUGGUUGAUUCUUUUGUUUAGCUACUGCUGGAGUUCUUUUGAGUUGUGGUUAAACAACUUCAUAAUUGUUGUAGUUGCAUGCCCUGCUGCAUCUGAUCAUGCUCGCAAUUACCUUAAUGAAGUGCAACAGGGACAAUACUUUUACACAAUUACAAAUGGCGUGACUAAGGAGGAGUGUGAAGACACUACAUAUGUUGUUUUUUU
Solanum stenotomum is the source of this 224-nucleotide long non-coding RNA. RefSeq lists it as uncharacterized. The record is from RefSeq and is a predicted model, not a curated record. NCBI's taxonomy places the organism in Eukaryota, Viridiplantae, Streptophyta, Magnoliopsida, Solanales, Solanaceae. The transcript has 3 exons.